UAACCAGGGAAUGUGAAAGAAGGGGACAAUAAUUUAUUAAUUUAUUCUUCUAGCACCUUUUGGGGUUCAUGCUUUAAGAUGUAUAAAAUCUCAUCCUUGCAGAGGUGGUUGAGUACCUGGAACCAGAAGACUAAAGCUUUAUUCCCUGGAGCUGAGUUAUGGUGUCUUCGGCCCCUUCCCCAACUCAUACAGAACCCUGGCAGCCUGGCCUGUGCCUUCUAAGACAGAAGUUUGGAAGACUUUUCUCCAGAGAAAUGGAUUAACCCAAGAGAAAGGAUCUAUACAUAAUUGAGGAUCCCUCAUGAAACAAAACUAUAAAGCUCUAAGCCAUCCCACAGAGCUACAUUACAGUUCACAGUAAUAACCUAAAUGUCCAGUGUUAGGGAUUGCUUAAGUCAUGACAUAUUCCAAAAAAUGGAAUACUAUUUAAGCACUUAAAAUUAUAUAAAAGAAUUAUAUACCAUGGAAAGUGUUCACAAGUUAUUUAAAAUGAAAAAAUAAAUAUAUGUAAUAUGUUCUACUUCGACACCAUAAUUCCACUUACAGGAAUGUAUUAGAAAAUAAUCAUUCACAUAAAGAUAUGGAUAGAGAUAUAUGAUGUUUAUCUCAGGCUUAUUUAAAGUAAAAAAAAUUAGAAAUAACUUGGAUUUUCAACAAUGAUAGAUUGGAUAAAUGAAUUCUAUUUGUACAUUAGAACACUAUAUGGUCAUAAGAAUUCUGCUUUAUUAGAAUAUUUAAUAACAGGAGAAAAUGCUUAUAUUUUAUUAAGUUAAGAAAACAGGCAGCAACACCAGGUAUAUGUUAUAAUCCCAAUUUCAAAUACACACACGCGCGCGCACACACACACACGUACAACAUUUUCACAAAGAUGUUAAUAGGUUCAUUCACAGAGGUAGGAUUCUGGGUAGUUUUUCUGUUCCUUGGCUUUUUUGUAUUUCCCCAGUUUUCUACAGUGGAAGUUUUUUUUAACUUUUUUGGAAAUUUUUCAAAAAUACAGAAAAGUAGAGAUAAUCAUGUAAUAACUAUCAUUUACCCAAUACCCAGAUUCAACAAUUAUUCAUCAUUUUGCCAAUCUCAUUUCCUCUCUCCCUUUUUAUUGAGCGCCAGAAAAAGAAGGCUGGAGUUAUUUUAAAGUAGAUCCCAAACAUCAAAUUAUUUUACCUAUAAAUACUUAAAUAUGCAUUUCUAACUGUUAAGGACUUUAAAAGCCUAACCAUUAUGUCAUUUUCACACCUAAUAAAAUUAGCUAAUUUCUUAAUAUUCCCUGAUUUCCUCAAAGAUCUCUUUUUUAAUCAGGUUUGUUUGAAUCAGGUUCUAAACAAAGUCCAUAUAUUGCGUUUGGUUAUUACAUCUCUUUAGACUCUCUUAUCCCGAACAUUCCUACCUUCCCUUACCCUCACAUACCCACCCUCCCCUUUUUUUUGGUCAUUUAUUUGUUGGGGAAUUUUUCCUGAAGAAUGAUCCACACUGUGUUUGAUCCACAUUGUGUGUUUACUGAUUGCUUCUUCAUGGUGUCUCUUGUUCUUUUAUUCCCCAUAUUUCUAGUAAACUGGUAAUUGGAGCUAGAGGAUUGAUUAUAUUGAGGUUUGUUUUUUUUGUUUUUUGAGAGAGGCUGCAGGGGGCAGAAGAGAGAGAGUCUUAAGCAGGUUCCAUGUCCAGCACAGAGCCCAACACCGGCUCAACAUGGGACCUGAUCUCACAAUCCUGAGAUCAUGACCCAAGCCAAAAUCCAGAGUCGGACGCCUAACUGACUGAGCCACCCAGGCACCCCUAUAUUGAGUUUUUUUAAAGACACGAAUACUUUUUUGGGCAGUGGUGUGAAUAUCACAUAGACAUAAUAUCGCACAUUAAAUGUUGCUAGGGUUGAGUGGUGGAUUGAGGUGAUGCUUAUCAGUCUCAUCCCUUUCAAAUGGUUUUAGCAGCCAUUGAUAAUUGGUGCCUGUAUCCAUGAUGUCAUAGAGGUUGAAAAAUGGCAAUUUUUUUUUUACUCACGUAGCAUUGCUUUUGCAUUGAUUAGCUGAAAGUCUUCUAUAAGAAACAGUGAACAUAUAGUAUAUUUUAUUACAGUUUUUAAAAUUAUAACUCAAAAAAAGGAAAAUAAAAUCCAGCCAUUGAAACAAUCUUAAACACAGUCAAGUCCAACUUUACUACUGUGUAAACCUUAGGUUACUUGCCUUCUGUUAGCCUCAAUUUCCUCAUCUAUAAUUGGGAAUACCACCACCUCCCUUGUAGGAUUGCCAUGAAAAUUAGAUGAGAUGAUAUAUUUAAGAUAUUUAGUAGAGUGCUGGUGUACCUAGUUACCCAUACAUAUAUAUGUGUGUGUGUGUGUGUGUAUAUAUGUAUAUAUAUAUAAUUUCAUUCACCCAACAGAUGUUUAUAGGAGACAUAACUGUAUGUAGGCAUUUGUUUCUGAGAAUUUGGGAUAGACUUGUGAACAAAACAGACAAAAACCCUUGCCCUCAUGGGGCAGGGUUGGGGAGACAGAUAAACAAUAAACAUAAUAAGUAAAUUAUGUAGGGUAAGUACUAAAGGAAGAAAAAGUAGAGCUGUGCAAGUGGGUAGCUAUUGUAUAAGGCAUGCAAGAUGCAGUAUUAAAUGGUCAAGGUAGGCCUCAUUCAAAAGAUGAUUUGAACAAUAACACAAAGGAGGUGAAAGCCAUGGUGUCUGGGGAAGCCCAUUCCAGGCGGAGGGAACAACUAGAGCAAAGGCCUAAGGUCAGAGUGUGUCUAGUAUGUUUAGAGAAUAGCAAAAAUGGUAGGAGAGAAGGUCAGAGAAGUAAGGAGGACAGAUCAUUUAUGGCCAUGUUAAGGACAUUUUAAGGACUUUGGCUUUGACUCUAAAUGAAAUGGGAAACUUUUGCAGAAGAGUGACAAUCAAAAAAAUGUCCUGUGAAAUGCAGCCAAAAAAAUAAGAUGAAUUGAUGAAUGGAAAGAGCCAUGGAUAAACAUAUACUAAAGCAAAUAUGGCAAAAUGUUAAGUGUAGAAUCUAGGGGGUGGAUGUAUAUAUAUGUGUGUGAUCACUGUUUAAUUCUUUCAAGUUUUCCAUGUGUUUAAAAAUAUCUGUAAGAAAAAAAUUUAAGCUAUUAAGAAAAAAACCUAAAUCUAACCCUGGUAAUAAUAUCGUAAUUUAACUGAUAUGUAUUGUUUUAUAGGACGAUUCUAACAUGUCACCGAAAACUCUCCUUAGGAAAUUCUACAUGAGAAAUCUUAUUUCCUCACUAACCUUCAUUAUGGAAUAGAAUGUAAUUCUUUGGAAAGAAUCUGAUUAAUAAAACCUAAAAUAAAAGUAACCUAAGAAUAUAAAAACAUUAAAAAUUACAUUUUCUGUAUAGUAAAGUCACUGUCAAUAUUUAGACAAAAUAGAAAUAUAAGAGUCAAAAUUUAUUCUGGCUGCUGUGUUUUAGAAAUCUAAAGGUCUCAUGGGCGCCUGGGUGGCUCAGUUGGUUAAGCGACUGCCUUCGGCUCAGGUCAUGAUCCUGGAGUCCCUUGAUCAAGUCCCGCAUCGGGCUCCCUGCUCGGCAGGGAGCCUGCUUCUGCCUCUGACCCUCCCCCCUCUCAUGUGCGCUCUCUCUCUCAUUCUCUCUGUCUCAAAUAAAUAAAUAAAAUCUUAAAAAAAAAAAAAUUAAAAAUAAAUAAAUUAGAAAUCUAAAGGUCUUGGGCCAAGGGAGGUAACAGUGGACAUGUUAAGAAGUAGUCUAAUUCUGUGGCUAGAUUUUGAAAGAACCAACAGGAUUCCCUGAUGGAUUGGAGGUAGAGUAAGAGAAAAAAGCAAUCUGGGAUGUCUCCAAGGUUUGUGGCUUGUGGUAUGAGCA
Mirounga angustirostris (Northern elephant seal) is the source of this 3812-nucleotide long non-coding RNA. RefSeq lists it as uncharacterized. The transcript is spliced from 2 exons. The record is from RefSeq and is a predicted model, not a curated record. NCBI's taxonomy places the organism in Eukaryota, Metazoa, Chordata, Mammalia, Carnivora, Phocidae.